CAAGUCGAGCGGCAGCGCGGGGCAACCUGGCGGCGAGCGGCGAACGGGUGAGUAAUGCAUCGGAACAUGUCCAUGUCGUGGGGGAUAGCCCGGCGAAAGCCGGAUUAAUACCGCAUACGCCCGAGAGGGGAAAGUGGGGGACUCGAAAGGGCCUCACGCGAUUGGGUUGGCCGAUGUCCGAUUAGCUAGUUGGUGGGGUAAAGGCUUACCAAGGCGAUGAUCGGUAGCUGGUCUGAGAGGAUGAUCAGCCACACUGGGACUGAGACACGGCCCAGACUCCUACGGGAGGCAGCAGUGGGGAAUUUUGGACAAUGGUGGCAACCCUGAUCCAGCCAUUCCGCGUGAGUGAAGAAGGCCUUCGGGUUGUAAAGCUCUUUUGUCCGGAACGAAACGGUGAGCGUGAAUAUCGCUCGCUACUGACGGUACCGGAAGAAUAAGCACCGGCUAACUACGUGCCAGCAGCCGCGGUAAUACGUAGGGUGCGAGCGUUAAUCGGAAUUACUGGGCGUAAAGCGUGCGCAGGCGGUUUUGUAAGCCAGAUGUGAAAUCCCCGGGCUUAACCUGGGAAUGGCAUUUGGGACUGCAAGGCUGGAGUGCGGCAGAGGAGACUGGAAUUCCUGGUGUAGCAGUGAAAUGCGUAGAUAUCAGGAGGAAUACCGAUGGCGAAGGCAGGUCUCUGGGCUGACACUGACGCUCAUGCACGAAAGCGUGGGGAGCAAACAGGAUUAGAUACCCUGGUAGUCCACGCCCUAAACGAUGUCGACUGGUUGUUGGGGGGUUUGACACUCUCAGUAACGAA
This 799-nucleotide ribosomal RNA is filed under the name uncultured beta proteobacterium. RNAcentral's name for it is "bacterial SSU rRNA". It matches the Rfam family "Bacterial small subunit ribosomal RNA", at positions 58 to 850 of the family's 1533-position model. The record is from RNAcentral. Lineage: Bacteria; Pseudomonadati; Pseudomonadota; Betaproteobacteria.